GACGAACGCUGGCGGCGUGCCUAAUACAUGCAAGUAGAACGCUGAAGAGAGGAGCUUGCUCUUCUUGGCUGAGUUGCGAACGGGUGAGUAACGCGUAGGUAACCUGCCUGGUAGCGGGGGAUAACUAUUGGAAACGAUAGCUAAUACCGCAUAAAAUGGAUUAUCGCAUGAUAAUCCAUUGAAAGGUGCAAAUGCAUCACUACCAGAUGACCUGCGUUGUAUUAGCUAGUUGGUGGGGUAACGGCUCACCAAGGCGACGAUACAUAGCCGACCUGAGAGGGUGAUCGGCCACACUGGGACUGAGACACGGCCCAGACUCCUACGGGAGGCAGCAGUAGGGAAUCUUCGGCAAUGGACGGAAGUCUGACCGAGCAACGCCGCGUGAGUGAAGAAGGUUUUCGGAUCGUAAAGCUCUGUUGUAAGAGAAGAACGAGUGUGAGAGUGGAAAGUUCACACUGUGACGGUAUCUUACCAGAAAGGGACGGCUAACUACGUG
This 496-nucleotide ribosomal RNA is filed under the name uncultured bacterium. Its description in RNAcentral is "partial 16S ribosomal RNA". It matches the Rfam family "Bacterial small subunit ribosomal RNA", at positions 28 to 507 of the family's 1533-position model. The record is from RNAcentral.